AUGUACUUUCCUACAACAUUAAUGCAUAGGAUCCCAUCAGAACUCCAUAUUUAAGCAUGCUUUGGAUAGAGUAGUACUAGGAUGGGUGAUCACCUAGGAAGCCCUAAUGUUUUACAUG
Molecule: non-coding RNA, 118 nt
Organism: Picea glauca (white spruce)
Lineage: Eukaryota; Viridiplantae; Streptophyta; Pinopsida; Pinales; Pinaceae
Source: Rfam